Molecule: ribosomal RNA, 598 nt
Filed under: Hanseniaspora uvarum
Lineage: Eukaryota; Fungi; Ascomycota; Saccharomycetes; Saccharomycodales; Saccharomycodaceae
Description: eukaryotic LSU rRNA
Rfam family: Eukaryotic large subunit ribosomal RNA
Source: RNAcentral
CCAUAAGCGGAGGAAAAGAAACCAACUGGGAUUACCUUAGUAACGGCGAGUGAAGCGGUAAAAGCUCAAAUUUGAAAUCUGGUACUUUCAGUGCCCGAGUUGUAAUUUGUAGAAUUUGUCUUUGAUUAGGUCCUUGUCUAUGUUCCUUGGAACAGGACGUCAUAGAGGGUGAGAAUCCCGUUUGGCGAGGAUACCUUUUCUCUGUAAGACUUUUUCGAAGAGUCGAGUUGUUUGGGAAUGCAGCUCAAAGUGGGUGGUAAAUUCCAUCUAAAGCUAAAUAUUGGCGAGAGACCGAUAGCGAACAAGUACAGUGAUGGAAAGAUGAAAAGAACUUUGAAAAGAGAGUGAAAAAGUACGUGAAAUUGUUGAAAGGGAAGGGCAUUUGAUCAGACAUGGUGUUUUUUGCAUGCACUCGCCUCUCGUGGGCUUGGGCCUCUCAAAAAUUUCACUGGGCCAACAUCAAUUCUGGCAGCAGGAUAAAUCAUUAAGAAUGUAGCUACUUCGGUAGUGUUAUAGCUUUUUGGAAUACUGUUAGCCGGGAUUGAGGACUGCGCUUCGGCAAGGAUGUUGGCAUAAUGGUUAAAUGCCGCCCGUCUUG